AGAGUUUUUUCCUGGCUCAGGAUGAACGCUGGCGGCGUGCUUAACAAAUGCAAGUCAAACGGGAAUUACUUUAUUGAAACUUCGGUCGAUUUAAUUUAAUUCUAGUGGCGGACGGGUGAGUAACGCGUGGGUAACCUGCCUUAUACAGGGGGAUAACAGUCAGAAAUGGCUGCUAAUACCGCAUAAGCGCACAGAGCUGCAUGGCUCAGUGUGAAAAACUCCGGUGGUAUAAGAUGGACCCGCGUUGGAUUAGCUAGUUGGUGGGGUAACGGCCCACCAAGGCGACGAUCCAUAGCCGGCCUGAGAGGGUGAACGGCCACAUUGGGACUGAGACACGGCCCAGACUCCUACGGGAGGCAGCAGUGGGGAAUAUUGCACAAUGGGGGAAACCCUGAUGCAGCGACGCCGCGUGAAGGAAGAAGUAUCUCGGUAUGUAAACUUCUAUCAGCAGGGAAGAAAAUGACGGUACCCGACUAAGAAGCCCCGGCUAACUACGUGCCAGCAGCCGCGGUAAUACGUAGGGGGCAAGCGUUAUCCGGAUUUACUGGGUGUAAAGGGAGCGUAGACGGCACGGCAAGCCAGAUGUGAAAGCCCGGGGCUCAACCCCGGGACUGCAUUUGGAACUGCUGAGCUAGAGUGUCGGAGAGGCAAGUGGAAUUCCUAGUGUAGCGGUGAAAUGCGUAGAUAUUAGGAGGAACACCAGUGGCGAAGGCGGCUUGCUGGACGAUGACUGACGUUGAGGCUCGAAAGCGUGGGGAGCAAACAGGAUUAGAUACCCUGGUAGUCCACGCCGUAAAC
RNAcentral lists this ribosomal RNA (798 nucleotides) under uncultured bacterium. Its description in RNAcentral is "bacterial SSU rRNA". It matches the Rfam family "Bacterial small subunit ribosomal RNA", at positions 8 to 807 of the family's 1533-position model. The record is from RNAcentral.